CGACCUACACAUGCAGUCGAGCGGAACGAGUUGUCUGAACCUUCGGGGAACGAUAACGGCGUCGAGCGGCGGACGGGUGAGUAAUGCCUAGGAAAUUGCCCUGAUGUGGGGGAUAACCAUUGGAAACGAUGGCUAAUACCGCAUAAUGCCUACGGGCCAAAGAGGGGGACCUUCGGGCCUCUCGCGUCAGGAUAUGCCUAGGUGGGAUUAGCUAGUUGGUGAGGUAAUGGCUCACCAAGGCGACGAUCCCUAGCUGGUCUGAGAGGAUGAUCAGCCACACUGGAACUGAGACACGGUCCAGACUCCUACGGGAGGCAGCAGUGGGGAAUAUUGCACAAUGGGCGCAAGCCUGAUGCAGCCAUGCCGCGUGUGUGAAGAAGGCCUUCGGGUUGUAAAGCACUUUCAGUCGUGAGGAAGGUAGUGUAGUUAAUAGCUGCAUUAUUUGACGUUAGCGACAGAAGAAGCACCGGCUAACUCCGUGCCAGCAGCCGCGGUAAUACGGAGGGUGCGAGCGUUAAUCGGAAUUACUGGGCGUAAAGCGCAUGCAGGUGGUUUGUUAAGUCAGAUGUGAAAGCCCGGGGCUCAACCUCGGAAUUGCAUUUGAAACUGGCAGACUAGAGUACUGUAGAGGGGGGUAGAAUUUCAGGUGUAGCGGUGAAAUGCGUAGAGAUCUGAAGGAAUACCGGUGGCGAAGGCGGCCCCCUGGACAGAUACUGACACUCAGAUGCGAAAGCGUGGGGAGCAAA
This 746-nucleotide ribosomal RNA is filed under the name Vibrio sp. RNAcentral's name for it is "bacterial SSU rRNA". It matches the Rfam family "Bacterial small subunit ribosomal RNA", at positions 45 to 772 of the family's 1533-position model. Lineage: Bacteria; Pseudomonadati; Pseudomonadota; Gammaproteobacteria; Vibrionales; Vibrionaceae. The record is from RNAcentral.